UUUAUUCCAUUCUCAUAUACCCAUAAACACUGAAAAAGUAGCAAUCCCUCUACCAGAAAAUCGAUGGAAGUUCUUCCCUCUCAUAAGCUUCUUUCCCGAUUCUGUCUUCUCUUACCUCUCCAUAUCACCUCACUUCUGCUUCUCUCUUCAUCUUACUCUCCUCCUAAUAAUUACUUCAUCAAUUGUGGAGCGCACUCCAACACCAAUGUCGAUACCCGAAUCUUCGUUGGCGACCAAGGUUUCUUAGUUGGAAAGGGUGAAGCUAUCAAAAAUAGCAACUCAUCAGCAAGCACUUCACCUCUCUAUCGAGUGGCAAGAAUUUUCCGACACCAGGCUUCAUAUAAGUUCGACAUCAACCAGAAUGGUAUAUACAUUAUACGCCUUCAUUUCUUUGUUUUCAUGUCACCGUAUACUGAUCGUUCUAUUCCUCGGUUUAAUGUUUCGGCUUCUGGGUUUUCACUUUUGAUGAACUAUAGCUUCCAAAACGUUACUAAUUUUUUGAAGAUUGAGGAAUUCUUGCUCACCAUCCCAAAAGGUGAAUUUAAAAUCAAUUUCGUACCUUACGAGCCAUCUUUGGCUUUCGUGAAUGCCAUAGAAGUCGUUCUUGGCCCCGAGAGCCUCAUCCCCGAUAAGGUCCCUCACAUUACAUCUCAAGGAGCUAAGAGUGACUACAGUGGUUUGAGAACCAAGGUUCUUCAUAAAAUCCAUAGGAUUGAUGUUGGAGGUUCUGCAUCCAAGCUCGAUGAGUUAUGGAGGAAUUGGGAUUCAGAUGAUAAAUACCUAUACCCAAAAGAUGCCAUGUAUCAAUACAAAUUCGAAACGCCUUAUGACCAGGCCAAAAGGAUCCCCAAGUAUAUUACCCCAGCUUUUGUGUAUCAGACAAUCAGACGAUUGAAUAUAAGCAACAACUCCAGUUUACCAAAGGUAAGUUGGAGUUUUCCUGUCAAUAAGAAUUCUAACAACUUUCUUCGAGUCCAUGUCUCCGGCAUAAUAAGUGUAAGUACACUUAAUGACUGGUGGUUCAAUCUCUCUAUCAAUAGAAAUUUUAGUAAGGAGAUGAAUCCUUACGGUAUAACAGAGAGGAUCGGCGUGGAUCCAUUUCACAUCGAUUUUGUGGUUGAUUCAGAUGGGUUGGGAUUUGUGAAUGCUAGUAUCAUAAUCGGCCAAAUGGAGGGCUCUUGGAUAUAUAAUGCCCUUUUGACUGGGUUGGAGAUUCUUGAGGUAGUGAAUGAGUCGGGUUUCAUUCCUCCUAGGGAAAUUGUAGUAGGGAAAAAGAAACUUUCCCCUGCUAUAAUUGGUUCUACAUGUAUUGGGGCGUUUUUCAUUUUGGUAAUAUUGGUGGUGUUGGGUUUGAAAUUCAGGAAACUAGGGCAUGAUAAGAUUUUGGGUGGGUUUAGUUCGAAAAACAGGUUGACUCAAAGAGGUCCUAAUGCUUCCCUUGUCGAUCCUAGUCUAAAGCUUAGUUUAAGGGUACCUUUUUCUGAAAUACUGGGUGCAACGAGGAACUUCGAUGCCGAGUUAUUGAUUGGUGAGGGUGGAUUCGGGAAAGUGUACAAAGGAACUCUUAAAAAUGGCACGAAAGUGGCUGUGAAACGAAGUGAUCCACGACAUGGGCAGGGUCUAGAGGAAUUCCAAACGGAGAUCAUGGUGUUGUCUCGGAUUCAUCAUCGCCAUCUUGUUUCUCUGAUUGGAUAUUGCGAUGAACACCGUGAGAUGAUAUUGGUUUACGAGUUCAUGGAAAAUGGGAUUUUAAGAGACCACCUCUAUCAUUUAGAUGACAAUUCCGGGAAGUCAACUUCAGUGUCUGAAUUAUCUUGGGAGCAAAGAUUAAAAAUCUGCAUUGGUGCAGCAAAGGGCCUACACUAUCUACACACUGGCCCGGCUGGAGGAAUCAUUCACCGUGACAUGAAGCCAACAAACAUUCUACUUGAUAAACAUUAUGUGGCUAAAGUUGCCGAUUUCGGAAUUUCAAAAUCUGGCCUUCCCGAUCAAGACAACUUCACCAUGGGUGUAAAGGGUAGCUUUGGUUAUCUUGAUCCAGAAUACAUUAAAACCCUACACUUGACAGAGAAAUCUGAUGUAUACUCCUUUGGAGUUGUGCUUCUUGAAGUUCUUUGUGCUAGACCGGCUAUCAUAUCGUCAUCUCGGCUGGAUGAGGUGAACUUAGCAGAAUGGGGGAUACUGUGGCAAAAGAAAGGCCAACUCGAGAAGAUUAUUGAUCCGAUGCUUGUUGGUAACAUUAAGUCAAGUUCAUUGCGAGUAUUUGGUGAUACUGUAGAAAUGUGUUUGAAGGCAUUUAGUAUUGAGAGGCCGACUAUGCAGGAUGUGUUAUAUUACCUAAAUUAUGCACUGCAACUUCAAGAAACUGGGAUGCCCAAAGAGCCAUUUGAAGACAGCACGACGACUACCAUAACUUCAUUGGAUUUGCAGUUUCCGGUUGUUUUGAACUUUCCUGUUCAUGAAGAUGAUGAUGCACCCAAUAGAGGGGAUGAUAGUUCUAAUUUAGAGAUUAGUGAAGCUUAAGUCCAUUGGUUUGGGUCCAACGAUUGUGUGCAUGUUCACCUACUAGAUUGGAUUGGUUCGAAUCUAGCCAACACGUCCUUCAAGAAAAUUUUUCAUCAAGAGUGCUUGAGCUGGUGGGUUGCAUGCCUCGUGGACCUGCUGCAAGGCGCUGGUUGUGCCCUGCGUCUUGGGCUGGUUGGCCGCCUGCAAGCCUCAGGGGAUUUGCAUGGAAGAACUGACAAGACCGACUGAUGGGAAAGAAAAAUACUGGUCGUACCAACUACGGCGGUUCUCCGUCCCCCUAGCAGCGAGGUUCAUCUGAGAGUGUAGAGAGAAAAAGUGUUGCAGUCUGGGAGAGGAGAGAGAGAGAGAAUGAGACAAAACGGAGAAGAAGAGGGGAGAGGAAGAAGAUGAGCUCAAAUCGAAAUGACGCCA
This is an RNA transcript of Carya illinoinensis, 2937 nucleotides long. It is a transcript of the gene named probable receptor-like protein kinase At5g24010, with no coding region annotated. The transcript has 3 exons. NCBI's taxonomy places the organism in Eukaryota, Viridiplantae, Streptophyta, Magnoliopsida, Fagales, Juglandaceae. The record is from RefSeq and is a predicted model, not a curated record.